Molecule: non-coding RNA, 109 nt
Organism: Acanthosepion pharaonis
Lineage: Eukaryota; Metazoa; Mollusca; Cephalopoda; Sepiida; Sepiidae
Source: the annotation of a GenBank genome assembly
UGACCAUAUAGCAUUGAAAUACUGGUUUAUAUGCAAUCCCGAAAGUUAAGCAACAUUGAGCCUGGUCAGUACCUAGAUGGGUGACUGCUUGGGAAUACCAGGCGAUGUA